This 603-nucleotide ribosomal RNA is filed under the name uncultured fungus. RNAcentral's name for it is "eukaryotic LSU rRNA". It matches the Rfam family "Eukaryotic large subunit ribosomal RNA", at positions 23 to 641 of the family's 3401-position model. The record is from RNAcentral. Lineage: Eukaryota; Fungi.
ACCCGCUGAACUUAAGCAUAUCAAUAAGCGGAGGAAAAGAAACCAACAGGGAUUGCCCUAGUAACGGCGAGUGAAGCGGCAACAGCUCAAAUUUGAAAUCUGGCGUCUUUGGCGUCCGAGUUAUAAUUUGCAGAGGGCGCUUUGGCAUUGGCAGCGGUCCAAGUUCCUUGGAACAGGACGUCACAGAGGGUGAGAAUCCCGUACGUGGUCGCUAGCCUUUACCGUGUAAAGCCCCUUCGACGAGUCGAGUUGUUUGGGAAUGCAGCUCUAAAUGGGAGGUAAAUUUCUUCUAAAGCUAAAUACUGGCCAGAGACCGAUAGCGCACAAGUAGAGUGAUCGAAAGAUGAAAAGCACUUUGGAAAGAGAGUUAAAAAGCACGUGAAAUUGUUGAAAGGGAAGCGCUUGCAGCCAGACUUGCCUGUAGUUGCUCAUCCGGGUUUUUACCCGGUGCACUCUUCUAUAGGCAGGCCAGCAUCAGUUUGGGCGGUUGGAUAAAGGUCUCUGUCAUGUACCUCUCUUCGGGGAGAACUUAUAGGGGAGACGACAUGCAACCAGCCCGGACUGAGGUCCGCGCAUCUGCCAGGAUGCUGGCGUAAUGGCUGU